Molecule: ribosomal RNA, 429 nt
Filed under: Bacteroidota bacterium
Lineage: Bacteria; Pseudomonadati; Bacteroidota
Description: Bacteroidetes bacterium partial 16S ribosomal RNA
Rfam family: Bacterial small subunit ribosomal RNA
Source: RNAcentral
UAGGGAAUCUUCGGCAAUGGGGGGAACCCUGACCGAGCAACGCCGCGUGAGUGAAGAAGGAUUUCGGAUCGUAAAGCUCUGUUGUUAAGGAAGAACGAGUGUGAGAAUGGAAAGUUCAUACUGUGACGGUACUUAACCAGAAAGGGACGGCUAACUACGUGCCAGCAGCCGCGGUAAUACGUAAGGUCCGAGCGUUGUCCGGAAUCAUUGGGCGUAAAGGGUACGUAGGCGGGUAAGCAAGUUAGAAGUGAAAUCCUGUAGCUCAACUACAGUAAGCUUUUAAAACUGCUCAUCCUGAGAUAUGGAAGGGAAAGUGGAAUUCCUAGUGUAGCGGUGAAAUGCGCAGAUAUUAGGAGGAAUACCGGUGGCGAAGGCGACUUUCUGGCCAUAAUCUGACGCUGAGGUACGAAAGCGUGGGUAGCAAACAGG